RNAcentral lists this ribosomal RNA (2265 nucleotides) under Streptomyces scabiei. Its description in RNAcentral is "bacterial LSU rRNA". It matches the Rfam family "Bacterial large subunit ribosomal RNA", at positions 696 to 2823 of the family's 2925-position model. The record is from RNAcentral. Lineage: Bacteria; Bacillati; Actinomycetota; Actinomycetes; Kitasatosporales; Streptomycetaceae.
UCAGUAGCACGCUCAAGACCCGAAGCGGAGUGAUCUAGCCAUGGGCAGGUUGAAGCGGAGGUAAGACUUCGUGGAGGACCGAACCCACCAGGGUUGAAAACCUGGGGGAUGACCUGUGGUUAGGGGUGAAAGGCCAAUCAAACUCCGUGAUAGCUGGUUCUCCCCGAAAUGCAUUUAGGUGCAGCGUCGUGUGUUUCUUGCCGGAGGUAGAGCACUGGAUAGGCGAUGGGCCCUACCGGGUUACUGACCUUAGCCAAACUCCGAAUGCCGGUAAGUGAGAGCGCGGCAGUGAGACUGUGGGGGAUAAGCUCCAUGGUCGAGAGGGAAACAGCCCAGAGCAUCGACUAAGGCCCCUAAGCGUACGCUAAGUGGGAAAGGAUGUGGAGUCGCAGAGACAACCAGGAGGUUGGCUUAGAAGCAGCCACCCUUGAAAGAGUGCGUAAUAGCUCACUGGUCUAGUGAUUCCGCGCCGACAAUGUAGCGGGGCUCAAGCGUACCGCCGAAGUCGUGUCAUUCCAGCGUAUAGGGCCAACGCCUGCUGGGAUGGGUAGGGGAGCGUCGUGUGCCGGGUGAAGCCGCGCCGGAAGGCAGUGGUGGACGGUUCACGAGUGAGAAUGCAGGCAUGAGUAGCGAUACAAACGUGAGAAACGUUUGCGCCGAUUGACCAAGGGUUCCUGGGUCAAGCUGAUCUGCCCAGGGUAAGUCGGGACCUAAGGCGAGGCCGACAGGCGUAGUCGAUGGAUAACCGGUUGAUAUUCCGGUACCCGCUGUGAAGCGUCAAACAUCGAACCAGGCGAUGCUAAGUCCGUGAAGCCGCCCCGGAGCCUUCGGGCAAAGGGGAGUGGUGGAGCCGACGAACCAGACUUGCAGUAGGUGAGUGAUGGGGUGACGCAGGAAGGUAGUCCAUCCCGGGCGGUGGUUGUCCCGGGGUAAGGGUGUAGGCCGUGAUCUAGGUAAAUCCGGAUCACACAAGGCUGAGACCUGAUGCCGAGCCGAUUGUGGUGAAGUGGAUGAUCCUAUGCUGUCGAGAAAAGCCUCUAGCGAGUUUCAUGGCGGCCCGUACCCUAAACCGACUCAGGUGGUCAGGUAGAGAAUACCGAGGCGUUCGGGUGAACUAUGGUUAAGGAACUCGGCAAAAUGCCCCCGUAACUUCGGGAGAAGGGGGGCCAUCACCGGUGAUAGCACUUGCUGCUUGAGCUGGGGGUGGCCGCAGAGACCAGCGAGAAGCGACUGUUUACUAAAAACACAGGUCCGUGCGAAGCCGUAAGGCGAUGUAUACGGACUGACGCCUGCCCGGUGCUGGAACGUUAAGGGGACCGGUUAGUCACUCUUCGGGGUGGCGAAGCUGAGAACUUAAGCGCCAGUAAACGGCGGUGGUAACUAUAACCAUCCUAAGGUAGCGAAAUUCCUUGUCGGGUAAGUUCCGACCUGCACGAAUGGCGUAACGACUUCUCGACUGUCUCAACCAUAGGCCCGGUGAAAUUGCACUACGAGUAAAGAUGCUCGUUUCGCGCAGCAGGACGGAAAGACCCCGGGACCUUUACUACAGUUUGAUAUUGGUGUUCGGUUCGGCUUGUGUAGGAUAGCUGGGAGACUGUGAAGCUCGGACGCCAGUUCGGGUGGAGUCGUCGUUGAAAUACCAGUCUGGUCGUGCUGGAUGUCUAACCUGGGUCCGUGAUCCGGAUCAGGGACAGUGUCUGAUGGGUAGUUUAACUGGGGCGGUUGCCUCCCAAAGGGUAACGGAGGCGCCCAAAGGUUCCCUCAGCCUGGUUGGCAAUCAGGUGGUGAGUGUAAGUGCACAAGGGAGCUUGACUGUGAGACCGACGGGUCGAGCAGGGACGAAAGUCGGGACUAGUGAUCCGGCGGUGGCUUGUGGAAGCGCCGUCGCUCAACGGAUAAAAGGUACCCCGGGGAUAACAGGCUGAUCUUCCCCAAGAGUCCAUAUCGACGGGAUGGUUUGGCACCUCGAUGUCGGCUCGUCGCAUCCUGGGGCUGGAGUCGGUCCCAAGGGUUGGGCUGUUCGCCCAUUAAAGCGGUACGCGAGCUGGGUUUAGAACGUCGUGAGACAGUUCGGUCCCUAUCCGCUGCGCGCGCAGGAAUAUUGAGAAGGGCUGUCCCUAGUACGAGAGGACCGGGACGGACGAACCUCUGGUGUGCCAGUUGUUCUGCCAAGGGCAUGGCUGGUUGGCUACGUUCGGGAGGGAUAACCGCUGAAAGCAUCUAAGCGGGAAGCCUGCUUCGAGAUGAGUAUUCCCACCCACUUGA